This 483-nucleotide ribosomal RNA is filed under the name uncultured bacterium. RNAcentral describes it as "bacterial SSU rRNA". It matches the Rfam family "Bacterial small subunit ribosomal RNA", at positions 30 to 507 of the family's 1533-position model. The record is from RNAcentral.
AUUGAACGCUGGCGGCAUGCCUUACACAUGCAAGUCGAACGGCAGCACGGAGCUUGCUCUGGUGGCGAGUGGCGAACGGGUGAGUAAUAUAUCGGAACGUACCCUGGAGUGGGGGAUAACGUAGCGAAAGUUACGCUAAUACCGCAUACGAUCUAAGGAUGAAAUGGGGGAUCGCAAGACCUCAUGCUCGUGGAGCGGCCGAUAUCUGAUUAGCUAGUUGGUAGGGUAAAAGCCUACCAAGGCAUCGAUCAGUAGCUGGUCUGAGAGGACGACCAGCCACACUGGAACUGAGACACGGUCCAGACUCCUACGGGAGGCAGCAGUGGGGAAUUUUGGACAAUGGGCGCAAGCCUGAUCCAGCAAUGCCGCGUGAGUGAAGAAGGCCUUCGGGUUGUAAAGCUCUUUUGUCAGGGAAGAAACGGUGAGAGCUAAUAUCUUUUGCUAAUGACGGUACCUGAAGAAUAAGCACCGGCUAACUACGUG